Molecule: ribosomal RNA, 786 nt
Filed under: Triticum aestivum (bread wheat)
Lineage: Eukaryota; Viridiplantae; Streptophyta; Magnoliopsida; Poales; Poaceae
Description: partial small subunit ribosomal RNA
Source: RNAcentral
AUGAUGAUUAAUUAUAUAUUUUAUAUUAUAAUAAUGCAGAUGAAUCGGCAAUGGAUGUACGGUAACCGACUCUCCGGCGAGUUCACUACGGGUUUGAAAGAUUUCCUCGUAGUGGCUAAUGCGAACAAGCAGGGGGGUUUUGUUAUCUGUCCAUGUGUUAUCUGUAAGAAUCAGAAGGGUUACUCUUCCUCAAGAGAUGUUCACAUGCAUCUGCUUCAGCACGGUUUCAUGCCAAGCUAUAAUUGUUGGACCAAGCAUGGAGAAAGAGGGGUUAUAAUGGAAGAAGAUGAAGAAGGGGAUGAUUUCAUCGAUGAAAGCUAUCUUGCUCAUUUCGGUGAUACUUUCAUGGAGGAUGCUGAAGGUGAAGGGGAAGGUGAAGAAGAGGCACGUGAUGAUCCCGUUGAUGAUCUUGGUCGGACCAUUGCUGAUGCACGGAGACACUGCGAAACUGAAAAGGAGAGGGAGAAUUUGGAUCGCAUGUUAGAGGAUCACAGAAAGGCGCUGUACCCCGGAUGCGAUGAUGGUCUGAAAAAGCUGGGCUGCACACUGGAUUUGCUGAAAUGGAAGGCAGAGGCAGGUGUAGCUGACUCGGCAUUUGAAAACUUGCUGAAAAUGUUGAAGAAUAUGUUUCCAAAGGAUAACGAGUUGCCCGCCAGUACGUACGAAGCAAAGAAGGUUGUCUGCCCUCUAGGUUUAGAGGUUCUGAAGAUACAUGCAUGCAUCAACGACUGCAUCCUCUACCGCGGUGAAUACGACAAUUUGAAUGAAUGCCCGGUAUGCACUGCA